CCUGAAUGACACAUCUGUGGUCCGCAUUUUACACAAAGGACUUAGUCUUUGUUUGUGAAUGGCCUCCUUAUGGAUACCGUGGAAUACAUACCGUGGAAUACGCAGUGAUUGUCUUUUAUAAUGGAUUAUUUGAAGGUCAGAAUGAGCAGACAUGAACCUGCAGAGAGUGACACACAUUCCCUCUUCACCUUACCCACUUCGAAUUAUUUAAGACAGAGGCAUUUCCUUUACUGCACAGCAGGUAUUUCUGAAAGGAGAGUUAAUGAUUACAGUAAAAUACAUGAUUUACCAACUAUUGGCACGUGCAUGUCUGACUGCAGAUAGUACCAAGCUCACAAUGCAAUAACAAGGUGCUGCUAGGUGCUCUAGGAUCGUAAGACAGCCACUGUGAUGAGCAGGGAAACCAUUGCAAGUAGAGCAUGUACCAUAGAAUUAAUUCAUGCAUCUCUUCCACUUAUCAGCUUGCUCUUUUAUUUUCUCCUUGGGCUGACCUAUAA
RNAcentral lists this long non-coding RNA (497 nucleotides) under Ictidomys tridecemlineatus (thirteen-lined ground squirrel). RNAcentral describes it as "lncRNA (ENSSTOG00000030658.1)". Lineage: Eukaryota; Metazoa; Chordata; Mammalia; Rodentia; Sciuridae. The record is from RNAcentral.